Molecule: ribosomal RNA, 503 nt
Filed under: uncultured bacterium
Lineage: Bacteria
Description: bacterial SSU rRNA
Rfam family: Bacterial small subunit ribosomal RNA
Source: RNAcentral
CUACGUGCCAGCAGCCGCGGUAAUACGGAAGGUCCAGGCGUUAUCCGGAUUUAUUGGGUUUAAAGGGAGCGUAGGCUGGAGAUUAAGUGUGUUGUGAAAUGUAGACGCUCAACGUCUGAAUUGCAGCGCAUACUGGUUUCCUUGAGUACGCACAACGUUGGCGGAAUUCGUCGUGUAGCGGUGAAAUGCUUAGAUAUGACGAAGAACUCCGAUUGCGAAGGCAGCUGACGGGAGCGCAACUGACGCUGAAGCUCGAAGGUGCGGGUAUCGAACAGGAUUAGAUACCCUGGUAGUCCGCACAGUAAACGAUGGAUGCCCGCUGUUGGUACCUGGUAUCAGCGGCUAAGCGAAAGCAUUAAGCAUCCCACCUGGGGAGUACGCCGGCAACGGUGAAACUCAAAGGAAUUGACGGGGGCCCGCACAAGCGGAGGAACAUGUGGUUUAAUUCGAUGAUACGCGAGGAACCUUACCCGGGCUUGAAUUGCAGACGAACGAUUCAGAGA